Molecule: ribosomal RNA, 305 nt
Filed under: uncultured bacterium
Lineage: Bacteria
Description: partial 16S ribosomal RNA
Rfam family: Bacterial small subunit ribosomal RNA
Source: RNAcentral
ACAGCAGUAGCCGCGGGAAUACAGAGGGUGCGAGCGUUAAUCGGAUUUACUGGGCGUAAAGCGUGCGUAGGCGGCUUUUUAAGUCGGAUGUGAAAUCCCUGAGCUUAACUUAGGAAUUGCAUUCGAUACUGGGAAGCUAGAGUAUGGGAGAGGAUGGUAGAAUUCCAGGUGUAGCGGUGAAAUGCGUAGAGAUCUGGAGGAAUACCGAUGGCGAAGGCAGCCAUCUGGCCUAAUACUGACGCUGAGGUACGAAAGCAUGUGGAGCAAACAGGAUUAGAUACCCCAGUAGUCCCUGUCUCUUAUAC